UGGCGGACGGGUGAGUAACACGUGAGCAACCUGCCUUUCAGAGGGGGAUAACGUUUGGAAACGAACGUCUAAUACCGCAUAAAAUAUCGGAGUCGCAUGGCACUGAUAUCAAAGGAGCAAUCCGCUGAAAGAUGGGCUCGCGUCCGAUUAGGCAGUUGGCGGGGUAACGGCCCACCAAACCGACAAUCGGUAGCCGGACUGAGAGGUUGAACGGCCACAUUGGGACUGAGACACGGCCCAGACUCCUACGGGAGGCAGCAG
Molecule: ribosomal RNA, 261 nt
Filed under: uncultured bacterium
Lineage: Bacteria
Description: partial 16S ribosomal RNA
Rfam family: Bacterial small subunit ribosomal RNA
Source: RNAcentral